Long non-coding RNA from Daucus carota subsp. sativus, 208 nucleotides. RefSeq lists it as uncharacterized. The record is from RefSeq and is a predicted model, not a curated record. The transcript has 2 exons. Lineage: Eukaryota; Viridiplantae; Streptophyta; Magnoliopsida; Apiales; Apiaceae.
CUUGUAAUUCUGUUUUUUGCGGGAACGGAAAGUGCGUGGUAAAUGGUACUAGCUACUACUGCCAAUGUGACCAAGGGUACGCCAAUUUGUUCGGUAAAUCUACAGAUGCUUGUUUUGAACAAUGCUACUUUGGAGCAGAUUGUAAAGACCUUGGAUUAGGGCCGGCACCACCUCCCAGUACUAGUUCUGCAGGCACACCGAAAACUGG